Molecule: RNA transcript, 2507 nt
Organism: Triticum aestivum (bread wheat)
Lineage: Eukaryota; Viridiplantae; Streptophyta; Magnoliopsida; Poales; Poaceae
Exons: 2
Source: RefSeq, a predicted model, not a curated record
UGUGUCCUGAGAUUCAUUUGAUCUCUCGCUACCACCCAGCUGGCUUACCGGGCGCGCUCAAUUUCCGGGGGAGACCCAUUCUCGCUCGCGACCCGUGUCUUUUUUUUUUUGAAUUUUUUCAUUUCGCCCCCGUAGCUGCCAGGUUCCCUUCCCCUUCCUCUCGUUCCCUUGUCAUUCCCAACACGCAAUCAGAACAGAGUCCAGAGAGAGAUUCAUGCAUGGUUUUCGAGUCGCGACUCAUGCGAGUCGCUCUGGAGCAGCGACUCGGAAGAAGUCGAGCCUGUGUUGUGACUAGUCGCGACUCAGAUUCGCGAGUCGACACUAAGCUGAGUCGACCAUAUUUUUGCGACUCAUAGACUAGUCGUCCACUAGUCGGGACUAGUGGAGCGACUCGAAAUCCAUGGAUUCAUGGCGACUCGAAAUCCAUGGAUUCGCGAGGGUGUGGUCAGGCGUCCGGCGUUCGCCCUCCGGCUGCUUCGCUCCCGUCCGGCCGCCAACCCCCUCCUGCUCCCCCGUUGUCCGCGCCGUUGGUUUGCAGCAUCUCUCGACCGCCGCACCCACCCACGGCCUCUAUUUCUACCCCGGCGACUUUGUUGGUCUUCGUGAUUCGGGGAUUUCUUCACACUAAUUCUCAGUGGGUUUCCACUAUAAUUCCACUUAUUAGCUGUAAUUCCAAUUGGAUUUACAGUGUAAAUCAAGUUGCACUGAUAUUGUCAGUGGGUUUAGUGUAAUUGACAAUAAGUUCUUAUUUUUGGAUUUUUAGUUUAUUUUAGUGGUUUUUUACAGUGUAAUCCUUACUGGAAUUUACACUAUAAUGUGUAGUGUUUUGUUUCAUCUUUUGUAAAUUACAGUCUAUAUUAAUCUGAAUACCUGUGUACUUACCGUCUUAAGUUAAUGUACAUUAACCCUGUAACUUACUAUCCCAUUUUCAGUCUAUUUUUCAGUGUAUUUACACUGUAAAGUCAUUUGGAUUCUAUGUAAUUACACCGUAAUGUUAGUGCACUUACACUCUAUUUUCCUGUGUAAUUUUAUUUGUAAUUGUAAUGAUUUACAUUUGUAAUUACAGUCUAAGUUAAUGUAGAUUUUUAACCCUGUAACUUAUUAUUCUAUGUACUGUAAUUUCCAAUCUAUUUUCAGUAUUUACACUGCAAAUUCAUUUGUAUUAUAUGUAAUUACACUGUAAUUUUAGUGCACUUAUACUCUAUUUCCCUGUGUAAUUUCAGUGAAUUACAUUUGUAAUUGUAGUGAUUUAUAUUUGUAAUUACAGUUUAAGUUAACUGUAAAUUUUAACCCUGUAACUUACUAUAUCCUAUGUACUGUAAUUUCCAGUUUUUUUUUCCAGUGUAUUUACAAGGAAGGUCAGAGUAAUUUACAACCAAGUUGUAAUGUGACAAAAUAUCACAGUAAUCUCUCAAGAUAUGUUGAUUUCUGUAUUUUUUUAGUGUAAGUACAGUGUGUAGCUUAAGAAAUUUGGACCAUACAUCUAGGUAUUUUUUUCUACUCAAGACUUAAAUUUCUGUACUGUGUGGUGUGUGCACAUGACAGUUACUGGGGUCUAAUAGCAAGAGAAUUAAGUUGGUCAUCUUGGCUUCAUCUUACAUGAAGGAGUGCAUCUUCAUCUUGCUGGUAUGACUUCUUGAUGCUGAAAUUUUUGAAGAUAAUGAAAGCACUCAGUAGUGUUUGUUAGCAAGUGUACUCUACUCAUUUUCCAAUUUUCACUGCACUUUAUAAGCUGUUUACAGUGUAAAAAGUUGAGAUGCAGUUUUACAGGCAUGAUUUAAGACGAUUACUGUUUUUUACACUGUAAAUCUACUAUAAAAUGUCACUGUAAAUUGUAGCAGUUUACUGUGUAAAUUACAUUGUAAUUGUCACUGGAACAAUGGUUUUUCAUUGUAAUUCUACCGUAAAUCAGCAUUGUAAAUUUGCAGUAACUCUACUGUGAAUUAUAUUUUUAAAUCUACUGCAGUUGUACUGUAGAAGUCACUGUAAUUUGCUAAAUUGAUCAUUGCUCACAGUACUUUGAUUAAUCUUUUGUAGAGUUCCUGUUUUAUGUUUCCGGUACUGUGUAAAUGGGGAAUUUGACCAUGCCUUUUCAUGCCAAUGUUGAUCCCAUGACCUCAUUCUCCUUUUCUAAUCUGUUUUUCUUAAUUUCCUGCAAUGUAAUGCUAGUUUUUCCUCUGUUUUUCAUGUCCACGUUUCGUGCAGAUUCUGGGAAUUAGGAGAGGGAACUGUUCACAGGGAGGUAGAGAAGAUUGACAGGAGAGGGUCUCUUACAUGUGCAUCCAUGAUUUUCUCAAGGUUUGCCCUCUGGAUAUUGGAGGAAUUCCCCCUGUGAUUUCUUCUUUGAUGGGGUGGACAAGCACAUCGACACAUUCAGGGGACAGGAACAAAACGGAGGACACGUGACACUUGUUAAACUCUGUGUUGCCAAAAAAAUAUGACUGAAAACUAAUUGGAUUUCAGAAGAGGGUUUUUGCAGUGUCACUUUAAUGCAUCUUUCACUAUAA